This 221-nucleotide unclassified non-coding RNA is filed under the name uncultured fungus. RNAcentral describes it as "sequence contains ITS1, 5.8S rRNA gene". Lineage: Eukaryota; Fungi. The record is from RNAcentral.
UUGAGUUUUGAAGUGGGCUUGAUGCUGGCGUCUUCACGAUGCAUGUGCUCGGCCCCGCUCUCAAAUCCACUCUACACCUGUGCACUUUCAAAGUCUGUGGUCCUCCGUAAUGGGAGUCGCAAGUCUUAAUUGACUUGUUGGGACCGCGCUUUGCCCCUUUAUCACAAACUAUAUGCAUUGUCUUGUAGAAUGUAUAGCCUCAUUGCGGGCGAAACUUAAUA